RNAcentral lists this ribosomal RNA (504 nucleotides) under uncultured bacterium. RNAcentral's name for it is "partial 16S ribosomal RNA". It matches the Rfam family "Bacterial small subunit ribosomal RNA", at positions 30 to 523 of the family's 1533-position model. The record is from RNAcentral.
AUUGAACGCUGGCGGCAGGCCUAACACAUGCAAGUCGAGCGGUAGCACAGAGAGCUUGCUCUCGGGUGACGAGCGGCGGACGGGUGAGUAAUGUCUGGGAAACUGCCUGAUGGAGGGGGAUAACUACUGGAAACGGUAGCUAAUACCGCAUAACGUCGCAAGACCAAAGUGGGGGACCUUCGGGCCUCAUGCCAUCAGAUGUGCCCGGAUGGGAUUAGCUAGUAGGUGGGGUAACGGCUCACCUAGGCGACGAUCCCUAGCUGGUCUGAGAGGAUGACCAGCCACACUGGAACUGAGACACGGUCCAGACUCCUACGGGAGGCAGCAGUGGGGAAUAUUGCACAAUGUGCGCAAGCCUGAUGCAGCCAUGCCGCGUGUGUGAAGAAGGCCUUCGGGUUGUAAAGCACUUUCAGCGGGGAGGAAGGCGGUGAGGUUAAUAACCUCAUCGAUUGACGUUACCCGCAGAAGAAGCACCGGCUAACUCCGUGCCAGCCGCCGCGGUAA